GCGUGGUCAUUGUGAGGUCGUCAUGGGAAGGCGGGGCCGGCGGGGGAGGUCGGGGGGUGUACAAGGAUAGGGGCGUGGUCAAUCGGGAGGGGCGGGGCCUGCAAGAAGAGUGGAGGGCGGAGGGCAGAAGGGACUGGGGAAGGGGCGAGGCCUGGAAGAAUAGAGGCAGAGGCGGGAGCGGCCGAUCUUGGCGGGUAGGUGAAUGACUGGAGCGCAGUCCAGAAGAGGCGGGGCUGGGGAAAGAUGCCGCUGGCAGGGCAGGGUGGUGGGGAAGGGCCCUCCUGGUAGCGGGUGUCCUAAGAGCGAAAGCGGGACGUGGCGCGGGUUCACCUGUGGAUACAACUGGCUGAGGGGUGGGCUCGGCAGCAGAGUCAGGGUCAGGAGCCGGUGUGGGACCUGAAGCAGGGCACAGGCUGGGGCUCAUCGCGGCCCGGCCCCUUUCCAUCGCAGAUCCCGCCUCCUCGCGACUCGGCCCCCAGGUCACAUCCCUCCGUCGGUGCCCGCCACCCACUCACCGUGGGGCUCCCGUGCGGCAGGUACACCGGGUAGUCGCGAGCGGUCUGCGGCGGCAGGGACCCCACCAGCCAGGGGAGCAGCACGGCCUCGGGCGUCCCCAGCCGCCACCAACCCUCUGUUGCUGCCACCACCCGGCCGGACACCACCAGACUGACGAAGGUCGUGCCCGCGGCCUCAGCGAACCCGGAGAGGGCUUCCUGGGUACGGGAGGCAGGAGGACUGGGAGUCAGCAGACAAGCGUAGGGGGUGGCAGCGACUUCCCAGAUGGGCAGGGAAUGGGGAGAAACCCACAGCCAGCCCCGAGCUCGCGCAGUGGCCAUGCUCCUACGUCUCACCCUCUCUGAGCCUGAGUUCCUUCACUUUCAUACGAAGUCACAUCCCCAACUCACACUGUGAAGUCUGUGAAAUCUGAUUAAACAUCUAGCCUGGGCGGGCAAACUGA
This 958-nucleotide long non-coding RNA is filed under the name Homo sapiens (human). Its description in RNAcentral is "HSALNT0398451". The record is from RNAcentral. Lineage: Eukaryota; Metazoa; Chordata; Mammalia; Primates; Hominidae.